This 429-nucleotide ribosomal RNA is filed under the name Chloroflexota bacterium. Its description in RNAcentral is "Chloroflexi bacterium partial 16S ribosomal RNA". It matches the Rfam family "Bacterial small subunit ribosomal RNA", at positions 355 to 776 of the family's 1533-position model. The record is from RNAcentral. Lineage: Bacteria; Bacillati; Chloroflexota.
UGGGGAAUAUUGCACAAUGGGCGCAAGCCUGAUGCAGCCAUGCCGCGUGUGUGAAGAAGGCCUUCGGGUUGUAAAGCACUUUCAGCGGGGAGGAAGGCGAUAAGGUUAAUAACCUUGUCGAUCGACGUUACCCGCAGAAGAAGCACCGGCUAACUCCGUGCCAGCAGCCGCGGUAAUACGGAGGGUGCAAGCGUUAAUCGGAAUUACUGGGCGUAAAGCGCACGCAGGCGGUCUGUCAAGUCGGAUGUGAAAUCCCCGGGCUCAACCUGGGAACUGCAUUCGAAACUGGCAGGCUAGAGUCUUGUAGAGGGGGGUAGAAUUCCAGGUGUAGCGGUGAAAUGCGUAGAGAUCUGGAGGAAUACCGGUGGCGAAGGCGGCCCCCUGGACAAAGACUGACGCUCAGGUGCGAAAGCGUGGGGAGCAAACAGG